Molecule: ribosomal RNA, 468 nt
Filed under: uncultured bacterium
Lineage: Bacteria
Description: partial 16S ribosomal RNA
Rfam family: Bacterial small subunit ribosomal RNA
Source: RNAcentral
GACGAACGCUGGCGGCGUGCUUAACACAUGCAAGUCGAACGGAAAGGCCCUGCUUUUGUGGGGUGCUCGAGUGGCGAGCGGGUGAGUAACACGUGAGUAACCUGCCCUUGACUUUGGGAUAACUUCAGGAAACUGGGGCUAAUACCGGAUAGGAGCUCCUGCUGCAUGGUGGGGGUUGGAAAGUUUCGGCGGUUGGGGAUGGACUCGCGGCUUAUCAGCUUGUUGGUGGGGUAGUGGCUUACCAAGGCUUUGACGGGUAGCCGGCCUGAGAGGGUGACCGGCCACAUUGGGACUGAGAUACGGCCCAGACUCCUACGGGAGGCAGCAGUGGGGAAUAUUGCACAAUGGGCGGAAGCCUGAUGCAGCAACGCCGCGUGCGGGAUGACGGCCUUCGGGUUGUAAACCGCUUUCGCCUGUGGCGAAGCGUGAGUGACGGUAAUGGGUAAAGAAGCACCGGCUAACUACGUG